GAUAAACGCUGGCGGCGUGCCUAAUGCAUGCAAGUCGAACGGGCCUCGGGCUUCGGUCUGGGGUCAGUGGCGGACGGGUGAGGAACACGUACGAGACCUGCCCUCCGGUGGGGAAUACCCCUUCGAAGAGGGGCGUAAUGCCGCAUACGGUUGCUGGGGUAAGUACCUGGCAAGGAAAGCUGCUCGCAAGGGUGGCGACGGAGGAGGGGCGGUGCGGCCGAUUAGCUGGUUGGUGGGGUAAGUGGCCUACCAAGGCUGUGAUCGGUAGCUGGUCUGAGAGGAUGAUCAGCCACACUGGGACUGAGAGACGGCCCAGACUCCUACGGGAGGGCAGCAGCAGGGAAUCUUGCGCAAUGGGCGAAAGCCUGACGCAGCAACGCCGCGUGGGUGAGGAAGGCCU
Molecule: ribosomal RNA, 400 nt
Filed under: uncultured bacterium
Lineage: Bacteria
Description: bacterial SSU rRNA
Rfam family: Bacterial small subunit ribosomal RNA
Source: RNAcentral